RNAcentral lists this ribosomal RNA (1086 nucleotides) under Pedobacter sp. 2PM12. Its description in RNAcentral is "bacterial SSU rRNA". It matches the Rfam family "Bacterial small subunit ribosomal RNA", at positions 341 to 1428 of the family's 1533-position model. The record is from RNAcentral. Lineage: Bacteria; Pseudomonadati; Bacteroidota; Sphingobacteriia; Sphingobacteriales; Sphingobacteriaceae.
ACGGGAGGCAGCAGUAAGGAAUAUUGGUCAAUGGAGGCAACUCUGAACCAGCCAUGCCGCGUGCAGGAAGACAGCCCUCUGGGUCGUAAACUGCUUUUAUUCGGGAAUAAACCUUUCUACGUGUAGAGAGCUGAAUGUACCGAAGGAAUAAGGAUCGGCUAACUCCGUGCCAGCAGCCGCGGUAAUACGGAGGAUCCAAGCGUUAUCCGGAUUUAUUGGGUUUAAAGGGUGCGUAGGCGGCUUGUUAAGUCAGGGGUGAAAGACGGUGGCUCAACCAUCGCAGUGCCUUUGAUACUGAUGAGCUUGAAUGAACUAGAGGUAGGCGGAAUGUGACAAGUAGCGGUGAAAUGCAUAGAUAUGUCACAGAACACCGAUUGCGAAGGCAGCUUACUAUGGUUUUAUUGACGCUGAGGCACGAAAGCGUGGGGAUCAAACAGGAUUAGAUACCCUGGUAGUCCACGCCCUAAACGAUGAAUACUCGCUGUUAGCGAUACACAGUUAGCGGCUAAGCGAAAGCGUUAAGUAUUCCACCUGGGGAGUACGCCCGCAAGGGUGAAACUCAAAGGAAUUGACGGGGGCCCGCACAAGCGGAGGAGCAUGUGGUUUAAUUCGAUGAUACGCGAGGAACCUUACCCGGGCUUGAAAGUUAGUGAAUCAUUUAGAGAUAGAUGAGUGAGCAAUCACACGAAACUAGGUGCUGCAUGGCUGUCGUCAGCUCGUGCCGUGAGGUGUUGGGUUAAGUCCCGCAACGAGCGCAACCCCUAUGUUUAGUUGCCAGCACGUUAAGGUGGGGACUCUAAACAGACUGCCUGUGCAAACAGAGAGGAAGGAGGGGACGACGUCAAGUCAUCAUGGCCCUUACGUCCGGGGCUACACACGUGCUACAAUGGGUGGUACAGAGGGCAGCAAGCUGGUAACAGCAAGCAAAUCUCAAAAAGCCAUUCACAGUUCGGAUAGAGGUCUGCAACUCGACCUCUUGAAGUUGGAUUCGCUAGUAAUCGCGUAUCAGCAAUGACGCGGUGAAUACGUUCCCGGGCCUUGUACACACCGCCCGUCAAGCCAUGGAAGUUGGGGGUACCUAAAGUA